Molecule: unclassified non-coding RNA, 1296 nt
Filed under: Homalodisca vitripennis (glassy-winged sharpshooter)
Lineage: Eukaryota; Metazoa; Arthropoda; Insecta; Hemiptera; Cicadellidae
Description: meiotic recombination protein DMC1/LIM15 homolog, transcript variant X2
Source: RNAcentral
CCCAAUGUUUGUUAUAAACUCAGUAAAGUUGCUAGAUAUCAGUUCAUUAUCUCAAUUGUGUUAGUUAAACUAUUAACUUUUAGAAAAGUAAAUAAUAUUAUAGUUCUUUGCUUUAACUAUAAUAUUAUUAUUGGUAUUUUAUAAAUAUGGGAGAUCAAGUAGUUGCACACGAAUCAGACAUUUCUGAUGUAGAGGAGGAGGAUAGUUUUUUUCAAGAUGUUGAUGUUCUUCAAAAUCAUGGAAUAAAUGUUGCAGACAUAAAGAAACUGAAGGUGGCUGGAAUAUGUACAAUUAAAGGUAUUCAGAUGUGCACUCGCAAAAGGCUGUGUAAUAUCAAAGGGUUUUCUGAAGCAAAAGUUGAUAAAAUCAAAGAAGCUUGUGCUAAGUUGUCAGCUAUAAGUUUCCUAACAGCUCUUCAAGUCAGUGAUAAGCGUAAGAAUGUUUUCCGAGUUUCAACUGGAAGCGAGGAGUUGGACAAGUUGCUGGGUGGAGGUGUGGAAUCGAUGGCCAUUACAGAAGCGUUUGGUGAGUUCCGCACUGGAAAGACCCAACUGUCUCACACACUCUGUGUAAUGGUCCAGAUACCCAGUGGUAACUACAGUGGUGGAAAGGUCAUCUUCAUAGACACAGAGAACACUUUCCGGCCGGAUAGGCUGCGCCCGAUCGCCCAGAGGUUCAACCUCGACCAGACUGCAGUUUUGGAUAACAUCUUGUAUGCCAGGGCCUACACCAGUGAGCAUCAGUUCGAGCUCCUGGACUAUGUGGCAGCCAAGUUCCACGAAGAGCCUGGUGUCUUCAAAUUACUGGUUGUGGAUUCUAUUAUGGCACUGUUCCGAGUGGACUUCAGUGGCCGAGGGGAACUGGCAGAUAGACAGCAGAAGCUGGCCCAGAUGAUGUCUCGUCUGCAGAAGAUUUCAGAGGAGUACAAUGUGGCUGUGUUUAUUACUAACCAGAUGACUGCAGACCCUGGAGCCACACUCACUUUUCAGGUUGUCAGCCUAACGUCCAACCCCCAACCUGGAGGACCAGGGUGUCCCUUCUCGUCUGGCUCCUACCUCACGAAGACCUGUCCGGCAAGGGAGACCCUACCAGUAGCUAAGCUACCGCCGGCAUAGCUCUCGAGGUUGUCAGAGCACACAAGCCCCACCGCCACAUCAAGGCUGAUCCGAAGAAACCAAUUGGCGGAAACAUUCUGGCCCAUGCCUCCACCACCCGCAUCUCAUUGAGGAAAGGUCGGGGGGAAACUAGAAUUGCCAAGAUUUAUGAUAGUCCUGAUAUGCCAGAGAAUGAAGCCAC